This 70-nucleotide transfer RNA is filed under the name Goggia essexi. Its description in RNAcentral is "tRNA-Trp". It matches the Rfam family "tRNA". Rfam says of the family: Transfer RNA (tRNA) molecules are approximately 80 nucleotides in length. The record is from RNAcentral. Lineage: Eukaryota; Metazoa; Chordata; Lepidosauria; Squamata; Gekkonidae.
AAGUUUAGGUUAACCCAAUCAAACCAAGAGCCUUCAAAGCCCAAAAUAGGGUUAAAACCCCUAACUUCUG